Molecule: ribosomal RNA, 855 nt
Filed under: uncultured fungus
Lineage: Eukaryota; Fungi
Description: LSU rRNA
Rfam family: Eukaryotic large subunit ribosomal RNA
Source: RNAcentral
GCCCCAGUAACGGCGAGUGAAGCGGCAACAGCUCAAAUUUGAAAUCUGGCUUCGGCCCGAGUUGUAAUUUGUAGAGGAUGCUUUUGGUGAGGUGCCUUCUGAGUUCCCUGGAWCGGGACGCCAGAGAGGGUGAGAGCCCCGUAUAGUUGGACACCGAGCCUCUGUAAAGCUCCUUCGACGAGUCGAGUAGUUUGGGAAUGCUGCUCAAAAUGGGAGGUAUAUCUCUUCUAAAGCUAAAUACUGGCCAGAGACCGAUCGCGCACAAGUAGAGUGAUCGAAAGAUGAAAAGCACUUUGAAAAGAGGGUUAAAUAGUACGUGAAAUUGUUGAAAGGGAAGCGCUUGUGACCAGACUUGUGCCCGGCUGAUCAUCCAGUGUUCUCACUGGUGCACUCUGCCGGGCUCAGGCCAGCGUCGGUUCUCGCAGGGGGACAAAAGCUUCGGGAACGUAGCUCCUCCGGGAGUGUUAUAGCCCGUUGCUCAAUACCCCUGCGGGGACCGAGGUUCGCGCUCUGCAAGGACGCUGGCAUAAUGGUCAUCAGCGGCCCGUCUUGAAACACGGACCAAGGAGUCGAGGUUUUGCGCGAGUGUUUGGGUGUAAAACCCGCACGCGUAAUGAAAGUGAACGUAGGUGAGAGCUUCGGCGCAUCAUCGACCGAUCCUGAUGUAUUCGGAUGGAUUUGAGUAAGAGCGUAUAGCCUCGGACCCGAAAGAUGGUGAACUAUGCCUGAAUAGGGUGAAGCCAGAGGAAACUCUGGUGGAGGCUCGCAGCGGUUCUGACGUGCAAAUCGAUCGUCAAAUUUGGGCAUGGGGGCGAAAGACUAAUCGAACCAUCUAGUAGCUGGUUACCGCCGAAG